This 118-nucleotide ribosomal RNA is filed under the name Paraclostridium benzoelyticum. The record is from RNAcentral. Lineage: Bacteria; Bacillati; Bacillota; Clostridia; Peptostreptococcales; Peptostreptococcaceae.
UCUAGUUAUUAUAGCAAAGAGGAUACACCUGUUCCCAUUCCGAACACAGAAGUUAAGCUCUUUAGCGCCGAUGGUACUUGGUGGGAAGCUGCCUGGGAGAGUAGGACGUAGCUAGGUU